AUGGAGCAAUUACCGAGCCCUGGAAGGAUAUUUCCACUGAAUUUGUUAAAACUGAGUUCAAGCACGGCCAAAGAUGGCGCACUCGCGCAUGGCGUCGUUGGUAUCUGCCCAGUAAAGCUGUUGUUACUGGCAUUGAGUGCGAUCAAAUUCUCCAUUGCUUUCCAUGUGGUGGAUGGAAACUGUCCUGUGAAUAAGUUGCUUGAGAUGUUGAGUACCUGCAGAGGCUGCGCAGGGGUUGAGGAUGGCAGCUCAUGCAGCGCUCCUGUCAGGCGGUUGAAGCUGACGUCAAGGACGAUUAUGCUGCUGGACGACACCAACUCCAGCGGCAAAGUGCCGGACAGCGAGUUACGCGACAGGUUGAGGCGCAAGAGGCCGGUGAGGUUGCCGACGGACGGCGAGAUGGACCCCUCGAGGCCUCGAGAAGCCAGCGAAACAUCGGUGACCUUCCUAACUUGGUUGCAGGUGAUCCCUUCCCAUGUGCAGCAGUCAGUGUUGCUCCGCCACGACGCGGCGAGGCCGCCGUCCCGCGAGAGCCCGGCGAGGAGCUGGAGAAGGGAGCCCUUCUCCUGCUCGGUGCAGGAGCUGGUCGGAGAGAUCAAAGUGGCCAGCAGCAUCAGAGCCAAGCCAAGGGAAGGCAUGUGGAAGGAAUUUCUUGGUGAAACUGCUGUGUGGAGAGCAGAGUUGGCUGCACGGUGUUGUGGUGAAAGCUAG
RNAcentral lists this ribosomal RNA (711 nucleotides) under Triticum aestivum (bread wheat). RNAcentral's name for it is "partial small subunit ribosomal RNA". Lineage: Eukaryota; Viridiplantae; Streptophyta; Magnoliopsida; Poales; Poaceae. The record is from RNAcentral.